GAUGAACGCUGGCGGUAUGCUUAACACAUGCAAGUCGAACGGUGUUUUCGGACACAGUGGCGGACGGGUGAGUAACGCGUGAGAAUCUGGUCUUGGGUUCGGGACAACCACUGGAAACGGUGGCUAAUACCGGAUAUGCCGAACGGUAAAAGAUUAAUUGCCUGAGAGUGAGCUCGCGUCUGAUUAGCUAGUUGGUGGGGUAAGAGCCUACCAAGGCGACGAUCAGUAGCUGGUCUGAGAGGACGAUCAGCCACACUGGGACUGAGACACGGCCCAG
RNAcentral lists this ribosomal RNA (277 nucleotides) under uncultured bacterium. RNAcentral describes it as "partial 16S ribosomal RNA". It matches the Rfam family "Bacterial small subunit ribosomal RNA", at positions 28 to 334 of the family's 1533-position model. The record is from RNAcentral.